This is a long non-coding RNA of Papaver somniferum (opium poppy), 4085 nucleotides long. RefSeq lists it as uncharacterized. The record is from RefSeq and is a predicted model, not a curated record. Lineage: Eukaryota; Viridiplantae; Streptophyta; Magnoliopsida; Ranunculales; Papaveraceae. The transcript is spliced from 5 exons.
CCAUUUUUCCACCUCUUCGGUCUUAUCAAAACAAGAAAAAGAAAUGUUCAUUUUUCUUUCUCAUUUCAAGCUGGUAACAACAGAGAAAGGGAAUUUGAGAUCGAGCUUCAUACUUGAAUGGAAUUCGUCAUCAUCCAAACAGCUAUAGCCAAACCAAGGUGGUAUCUUCUCCGUUACCUCUCGUUAGAUGGAGUUCAAGCUCUUCUCUCCAAUUCAUGAGCACCAGAUCUUGAGGCAACAUCAAUGGAUCUGUGUGAGACUGUUGUAGUGUUGGAAUUUAUACGCAGCAGCAACGACAACAGAGCUACAAGGUUCGUUAUCGGCUGAAAUUGGUUUUGACCUAACUUUUGGUCUUGAUUAAAUGGUGACUGUUUGGGGCGGUUCUGAGUUGUAAACGAAGAUGAAAUCAUGAAGAUGCAGAUGAAGUGUCACUGAAACUUGGUUACAGCAAAGCUAGGUCGUGAUGUUUGUUCGCUGUGAACGGAGAUUGGGUUCAUUCCAUGAGCUUGAUCGAUGGAGAUUUGGGGGUUUCAACAUCAGUUGAUAUUGGGUCUUAAUUUAAUGGUGAUGGACAGAGAAAACAGAUGAUUCUGUGGGUAUUCGAUUGAACGCAGAAAGGUGUUGCUUCCAUGAGUAUUGUGAUUAUGAAAAACAGGUCAGUGGCCGGAGUUGGGAAACAGUUCAGUUAAGAAAGUAUUGGUUGCUUGAGUCGAGUGGUGUCUAAAGAUCCCAUAAAACCAACUCUCUAUGAUAUGUGGUACUGUUAAGUGGUUUUGAAUGGUGAAAAACACUUGCUCCUGCUGUUGAUUUAACGGAGUUGGAGAAGGUGUAUAUGUUGACUGAAUUUGGAAGUCGUCGAGCUGGUGUAGUCGGUGGUGGCUGGAAGUGCAGGGAAAGAAGCUGUGGCGAAGCUUGGUUCAGCUGUUGUGAUCAAUGGCUAGCUCUGUGGUUGGAUGUGAACUGAAAGUAGUCAGGGAAUUUGGCUGAGUUGAUUGCAAAUUGUAUAAGGCAGUCUCAUAUGGAACAAGGAGAUGGAUUCCAAUUGAGUUUUUCUAUGGAGCUCGGAUCAGAGCUAAUCGAGCUGUAAUAGCCAGUGGGUCACGAGACUGUGAAUAUUCUGAAGUACAACUGUAGCCGAUAUGUAGAGUGGUUGUUUGCGAUUCUGCACUUGAAUGUUCUCGACUGAGAACAAACACAGCAGUAACAACUGGUGAAGACGGUGAUACUUCCUGAUUGCAAGUGAUGAUGGUGGAUGGGUAACCUGUGGUGGUGUUUUGUAAGAUGGAGAUGCUGGUGUUGGCUGCAUCAGUUCAGUGGAUCUGAAAUGGUCGUGACCAGUGGUGCUGAGAUGAUUGGACUGAGCUGGUUGUUGGUGGUAUUGGUCAUGGCUGUGAACAAGGAGGUGCAGACAGUGGCCAGACUUACUGUUGGCCUGGAGUUCUGUUUUUGGACUGGGCUUUGGUGUGUGCUGGCGUCCGUCACCAGAGGAGAGUUUGGAUGGUUAUUUAACCUGGCGUGAAGAGAAGAAAAGAUACGCCGUAAUCAGGGAAGCAAUUAGGUUUAGCUCCAUUUCAUUUGAUUGAUUUUCUAUAUGUUGAGUUUAUUCAUCUCUAUAUCAUUUUUUAUGGCUUUGAGCAAAACCAUGUCUAGCUAAAUCUAUUGUUAGGGUGAAGGAUGAACUUGUAGGUUUAUUUUAUUCAUGUUCUAAAACAAGGGUUUCUACCAACUUUGAGCUUAAUGUCAUUUGCUUGAGUUUCUCUACAAUGAUUUAUCUUCUAUUCAAUUUCUCAUAUUCUAUGCCAUGUAUAGUCUAUUGUUAGGUUGAUAGAAAUACUCAUUGAACCUUGUUAUUGAUUGUUUUAUGAUUAUUCCAAUACUAUGUAUGUCAUGUAUACUUAGUACUAGGGAUGUCUACCGGAAUCCGUUGAGAACAAACAAUAUUUUAUGAUAACUGAUUCCUAUAAAUCCUUAAUGAAAUAUCUUCCGUGCGUUAGUAGCUAGGUUUGCAACUUCGCAUGAGUAAAUUUGAGACGUUGUGAUAGAACAUUAGUAAACGUAACUUUCAACGGAUUCCGUAGCCCUAAUACUUCCACAUCUUUGAUACAAUCUUAAUUAUUUUGUUUUGGUUCAAUUUGUUAGCUUAUAAGAAUUCUGAAAUCUCCACUUUGAAAUAUUCUUGACUUGAAAGUUACCAGUAUUGAUUGGAAAAAGAGUUUAGCUCUCCUCGUGGGAACGAUCCAUAUUUGCCACUAUUCACAUAUAGUGCACCGUAUACUUGCGGUUAAUUAAAGUCACGGUUCUCCGAUUCAUCAAGUUUUUGGCGCCGCUACCGGGGAGUGGUUGCAAAACCCUCUCUAAUUGAUAUUUAGACUUUCUAGUCAGUAGUUUUGGAUUUAAUUUUCUGUAGUUAUUGCUUUGUUUUUAGUUUUUCUUUUAAAUUUUUGUUAGUUCUUUUUGCUGAUUUGGUUUGACCUUUUUUAGGUACCUUUCUUAGUUAUUUUGGACUGUGGCAUAGGAAUUGGUAACGAGCUCAAAGAGAGUAAGUGCUUGAUUUAUUUGCAAAGCUUUUGCAAGGUAAGUACGAUUCAGGGUUCGCUGGUAAUGACCCGGGAGCAUUAAGCCUUGGCUCCGUCACUGUCCAAAAGUGCUUGUAAAAUGUAAAUUCAGAUUUUUCUCUAUUUGACAAAUGAGUAAUAAUAUAUGGUCUGCUAUGUAAAAUAAAAAAGAACUGAAAAAGAACAGGGGAUAAAGCAAGACGAACCCAGGAUUCCCAUUUAGUAUCUUCAUUUUGUGUAGAAAUGUAGAAACUGCAUUUUGAUAUUAGAUCAUAUAACUGAGAAGCAUCUACAUAUAACUGAGCUCUGAUUUCAGGAGGUGAAGUGUUACUUCAAAUAUUAGAUACUCUAUCCACUCUAGCUAGUUUUUAGAGAGGAUAUCAGCAGCCUUAUUUCUCUCUUUAGGAACAUAAUAUAGUUUCCAAGAGCUAAAAUUUGUACAAAAAAAAAAACUCCCUAAUGUCUUGGACAUAAUGACGCAACCUCCGAUCAGUGGAACCAUUUUCCUUGUUGACAGCAUCUGCAACUUCUUUGGCGUACAAUCUGUUACACAUACUUGUCCUAAUAACAUUCCAAGAAUCCAAUUACACCAUAGAGAGAUUGAUCUAAGGACCAUCAGUAGCGUAUCAAUAGAGAUAUGGCAAGAAAUCGUCCAAGCUUGUCCUCAUAAACCCAUAUGGCAUCAUUUUCACUAAACUUUCUUUCUCGUACCACAUUCUCACACCAGAAUAAUACCAAGUUUCCAUCCCCAUCAUCCACAAAAUCUAGCUGGUAAUAUUUUCCGGUGUCCAAAUCCCUAACAGGGAUAGUAUGGGGUUUCGGAAGAACAAACCCAUGUAGUAAAUCUACUGGGUGGAGAAAUUUACAACUUGUUUGUUUGCAGCUGACUCGGCGUCUGGGUCUGAGUCAACCCCUGACUCGGUCUGAAUCGGCAGUUAGACUGUUUGCUUUCCAUUUUUCAUAACCCCUGACUCGCGAUCUGACUCGCUGCCAACCUUUGACUCGGACCCUAUGGACUCAGGUUUUUCCAUCGAGAGCAGAGAUGGAAGAUGGGGAAAAACCCUAGAUCUGAUGUCUCCUUCAUCCUCUCUCAACAAAUUCACUAAUAUCAUCAUCUCCUUCAUCAGUUUCGACUAAUCUCUCCAUUCUUUCAAGUCAUCAGCUUGUUAUAAAAGAGUCAUCAACGUCAGGGGGAAGAAAAUAAGGAAGAGGGACGAAGAUUAGAGUUUUGUGAAGGUCUUUCUUAUAAUACUGAUGACCAGCAACUUAAGGAAGCAUUCAACAGCUUUGGUGAAGUUACCGACGUUAGAGUUAUCAUAGACAGAAACUGGGAGGUCGGGGGGCUUUGGAUUUGUCAGCUACACUUCUGAGAAAAUGCUGGUUGAGGUCUAACUUCUAUACGGUCAGGUAUAAAAGUGAACGAAAUUAGUACAUCUGCAGCUAUUCAAUUAGCUAUGCCAGUGAUCUUGGUGGAAGGACUAGUGUAAGCUAUGCCAAUGAGAGACCUUCCGAACUGGUGGGAAUUUUGAG